Molecule: long non-coding RNA, 1546 nt
Organism: Athalia rosae (coleseed sawfly)
Lineage: Eukaryota; Metazoa; Arthropoda; Insecta; Hymenoptera; Athaliidae
Exons: 4
Source: RefSeq, a predicted model, not a curated record
UAGUAGAAAAUUACGGUAAGGAUCAUUGUUUACCUGUGGUACGUCCCCGGCAGUACGAGGCAUACUUCGGAUCGAUUGGUUUAAAUUACUCAACACGUUCUGAUCAGCUUCGACAUUAUUUGGCACGAGAUUAUUCUGUUUGCUGAAAUGAUAAACGAAUGAAGAGAAACUAGGCUGGGAUACACACCACCAUUAUUUUCGCAUCCAAUGGUGAGAGUUUUUGGUUCAAAUGUGCCAUGUUUCAAAAUACACUUGUACCAGAGCAAGAUCAUAAGUAAUCUUUGUUAUACGUAUGCCAUGUACAAAAGUAUAAUUCCGUUAUAACAACGGAGCGCGUAUUUUCAGCUGAUCUAAGCGAAUCACGAAUACGUGAUAAAAAAAAUGUGACCUUGCUGACCAUGUGAUGAGUGUUGACGUCAACAUGCAAAUCUUACUUAUGAAUUUUAACAUUGUUAUAGCAUUGGAUUGAUUUUAAUUGAUAUUGGGGAGAAUAACUGGAAAUGGAAGAUGGGAAUAAAAAAUAAUUUGUUAAAAUAUCAGACAGUUAAUGAUUGAAGUAGAGGAAGAGAGGAGUUAGCUUUUACUCGAAUACAUGAAAUAUUGUUUAAUGUAAUUACAAUUGCACGUACAAACGUUACAAUACUUAAUACUAUCCAUGCAUCAACGAUAAAAAAUCUCAUGCAAUAUUUACCUGCAGGGGACGUUGAGUGCUUCAGUUCCAUUUUUUUGUAAUUGCUCCUGCCUGUGUGCACGCAGUUUUCUUUCUGCCAGCAGAAAUAAGAACUCAAUUCAAUAAUUAAGCAGAUGCGGACAAGAGGAGAAAAACAAGACUGAUGUAAACUCACUCAAGUAUUUCUUCUUUGGUAGCAAUGUUUCCAUUCACCAUUUUGGUGAUGAUGAGAUUAUGAUGUUCCUCCGAAACUUGUUGCCUGGACACAAGGGGCAACGACUCUGCAGGGUCGGCGUCGGACCCUGCGACCAGCCAAGGAUUAGAUGCAAUUUCUUCAAGUGUAGCUCUUCGCUCUGGUUGUCUCACAAGCAUUCUGGCUAUCAGCUGUUUGCAGCCUUCGGAAACCAGGCGCAUCGUAACUGUCUCCUAGAAGAAUUUCUGGAGCUGAAUAAGCCAGAGAACCACAAGAAGUUUCCAGCUUUUGUCCAGGACAGAAUCUAUUGCUGAAGCCAAAGUCUGUGAGCUUAACCAUUCCCAGUUUUUCAAAAAAUACUACAUUUUCAGGUUUCAGGUCUCUGUGUACGACGUGCAAUCUGUGGCAGUAAGAUAUGGCUCUAACUAUUUGUCGGAAAUAUGUUCUUGCCACCUAGAAACAUAAAAUACCAUCAUACAGAGAACCUGAUAUGCGUAACAAAUGGAUAAACAGAUGGGCAACUGAUAAAGAAAAUCUUACUUCUUGAAAUAAAUGCGACCUAGAAAUUUCGUCGAGCUUGGUUUUAUCGAUGACCUUAACUGCUACUUUUUCACCGGUGAAAACAUGACGGGCAAGUUUGACAACCGCAAAGUGUCCUCGACCAAGGGUCUCCUCCAUAUCAU